Mustela lutreola (European mink) is the source of this 1279-nucleotide long non-coding RNA. RefSeq lists it as uncharacterized. Lineage: Eukaryota; Metazoa; Chordata; Mammalia; Carnivora; Mustelidae. The record is from RefSeq and is a predicted model, not a curated record. The transcript is spliced from 4 exons.
UGAGGCAAGGAGCCCAUAAGCUCCUGAAAUUCAAGACUCUGGGCUCCUGGUAAAGAAUCCAGAGGUGAUCUGUGGCUUAGGAGAGUUAGAAGGUUGCUAGGAAGAGUUCCUUUGACUUAAUUGUAGAGAUAAAGGGAUGGGGGGCGGAAAUACCUGAUUCUAGCAGUGGAGGAUUUGGGAGCCUGGAAAAUCUUCAUAGUGAGAGAUGGGGAGAUCGUUGUGAACUGGAAUGUUUAAGGCACACCUGCUCAAAAAAGUCUCUCGGUAGGAUCUGGGAAGAUGAGAAGAAAUCUGGGCAGUCUGCUUAGAGGCAGAAAAUGUUACAAAAUAAGAUUUCCAGUCUUUCCGGCCCCUGCUUAUGCCAAGAAUGCCCCAUGAACGCCCUCCAAGAGGCAACAGCCCUUCAGAUCAUCAGGAAACCCUGGAACUUGCUAAUAAAAAGAAAGUGAUUUUCCAUACAAAGUAAACAGUUCCCUCCUGCACAUAUAAAAGGACUUGGCUUCAGAUGCAGAGCUGCAGAGUUCUCAACUUCAUUGUCAGAGGCGGUGCUGAAGAGUGCCGGAGAGCGUGGGAGGGCCGAGAGACAUUUGUUGAACACCUACUACGUGCCAUUGCGCCAGGCGCUGGGAACAAAACUGUGAACAGCACAGACCAGACUUACGGAUGGUAUGCGAGAAGGUACGGAAGAGAUGGACAUUUCUUCCCCUUUCAAGUCCCCCUUUAGCCCCUGCGAUUUAUGAGGACCCCACCCAGGGCAUCUCAUCACAGCCCUCAUUUCAUAAAUCGCCCCCAGUGGAACCCCUAAGAAUCCAGAUUUACUAGCCAGCAAAAAUUAUUCUAGAUCUUCAGAUAUAAAUUAGAUAUCCACACCCACUAUUCUCUUUCUUGUGUGUUUGCUUCAUGGCAUUUAUCGCAAUAAAGAUUACGGUUUAUUUGAGUCCAUGCUCAUUUCCCAUCUGCCAUGGACCAAAUUGAAAGUUAUUUAAAUCUAUUUUGCUCCCCAUGGUAUCCCCAGGGCCUAGCACAAUGUUUGGCAUGCAUUAGGUGCCAAAUAAUACUGACAAAUAAACGGACUCAUCAGCUUAGUGAAUGAGUGAGCAGUUGGACAAAUAAAUGCCUUCUUAUUUACUGGAAGAAUGAGGAGUUAAAAAUAAAGAUUAGAACGUAUCUCAUAUAUAUUUCUCUAGAAGUAGGGAUCAUGGUCAACAUAUUUCCAGAGUAAAAGCAAUGCAUCGGGGGCCCCUGGGUGGCUCAGUCAGUCAGGCGUCUGCCUUCUGCU